RNAcentral lists this ribosomal RNA (439 nucleotides) under uncultured bacterium. Its description in RNAcentral is "partial 16S ribosomal RNA". It matches the Rfam family "Bacterial small subunit ribosomal RNA", at positions 339 to 795 of the family's 1533-position model. The record is from RNAcentral.
CUACGGGACGCACCGGUGAGGAAUAUUGCACAAUGGGGGGAACCCUGAUGCAGCAACGCCGCGUGGAGGAUGACGCAUUUCGGUGUGUAAACUCCUUUUAUAUGUCAAGAAAAUGACGGUAGCAUAUGAAUAAGCACCGGCUAACUCCGUGCCAGCAGCCGCGGUAAUAUGGAGGGUGCAAGCGUUACUCGGAAUCACUGGGCGUAAAGGACGCGUAGGCGGGUUGGAAAGUCAGGUGUGAAAUCCUACAGCUUAACUGUAGAACUGCACUUGAAACUUCUAAUCUAGAGUAUGGGAGGGGGAGAUGGAAUUAGUGGUGUAGGGGUAAAAUCCGUAGAUAUCACUAGGAAUACCUAAAGCGAAGGCGAUCUCCUGGAACAUUAUUGACGCUAAGGCGUGAAAGCGUGGGGAGCAAACAGGAUUAGAUACCCUUGUAGUC